Triticum aestivum (bread wheat) is the source of this 2663-nucleotide long non-coding RNA. RefSeq lists it as uncharacterized. The transcript is spliced from 5 exons. The record is from RefSeq and is a predicted model, not a curated record. NCBI's taxonomy places the organism in Eukaryota, Viridiplantae, Streptophyta, Magnoliopsida, Poales, Poaceae.
UUCCCGUGGUUUAUUUUCAUCCGUCACGGUUAUUUUCCCUGAACCAAAGAGGCGAUAGCUUAGGAGUCAGGAGCCCAGCCCGCACACCUCUCUCUUUCCCCUCAGCACCGGAGGCGCGCAACACGGACGCACUGCACCGAUCCCAAGAUGCGCUAGGGCUGGCUCGCCGCUGAUGGCGAUGGCUAUCAAAUGGCAACUACGGCGACGUUGACGCACUUUUUAUCCCCUACCGCUGCCGCCUCCCGAGAUCCCGAGCGCGGAUUGUCGACCUGAUCUGUCGUCAUGCACAUGACGAUGGUGGUGCCGGUCUCAAUCGCCCUGAUUUGGUUUGACUGAGAAUCAUCGAUGUGUAGGCGACAAGCAGAUUUCCUUGGAUGUCUCCUUGCCCCUACCGUGCUCGAUUUCAUUCAAAGGCUUCAGGACCUAUUUGUGCUUUCAGAUGAAGACUGAAUGCACGUGCAAAUACGAUCAGGAUGCAAUCGAGGAAUAUAUGGGACUAUUUCUGCAAUUGUUGUCCCUCCCUAACUCCGUUGAGUCGAUAACCAUAUCAUCCUGUGAUGUAAGCUGGCUUAUGAUCUUUGGACAGAUUUUGGUCUCCUUAACUCUGAUUUCCCGGUAUCCAUUCUUUAUGACCCUCAUUGCCACAACAAAUGAAUUUUCGUUCAUAUUUGUCAUCCAGAUGGGUUAAGGAAGACAAGGUAGUGCACUUCCAGAUGUUUGUCCUCCUCUCCUAGACGAUGUCAGUUUGGUUAUGCACGCAGAAUCUUGUCUUGAUGCCAUGCAUAUUACAAAGGCUUCUAUGGGUCUUGAAGCUUUUGCUUGUAUCAUCUAUUAGAUAUUUUUUCUGAACUCUCUAUGUUAUCCCUCUUUGCACUGACCUAUAAUUUUUGUUUGAGCAGGGACAGUGCAGCGAACACGAGCAAAUAAAUUGGUAGAAGGUGCAGACGACUAUCUGAACCAAGGCUUGUGUAAUAUGUAAAGUGAGUUGCAGAUGCAGUAUCUACCUCUUUGAUAAGUAUUGGGUGUAGGUAAGACACAUCUAAUCUGAAUUGAGAUAUGGAUGGCGUGAAUAGUCUGUAUGUUUGAUUUUCGAUUGAAUGUUGAAUUAUUAUCAACUAGAUCUUCCUCCACCGACAUUACUAGCUCCUCCUUGAAUACCAACUGUCGGAAAGAGAGCAAUGGUACUGUGAUUGUACUGUUUUAUGCCAGGUGUUAAGGAAUACUAUUUGCAAGCAGUUAGCGAGGAACUGACGGUGCAUUAUAUUGUAUAGAAGGUUCUUUUGAUCCUGAAAAGCCAAUUGUGCAUUUAAUGUUCUAUACCUAAUUUGGCCCUCCUGAAUCUUGUCCAUUCCUAAAUGUAUGUCUUUUUAGAUAUUUCAAUAUGAACUACAUACAAAUGUAUGUAGACAUAGUUUAGAGUGUAGAUUCACUUAUUUUGCUACGAAUGUAGUCUAUAUUGGAAUCUCUAAAAAAGACUUAUAUUUGGGAAUGGAGGGAGUACAUAUACAUAUGUUAGUUAUGUCAAGCACUUUUUUAGUCUCAGCUUUUGUAAAUCUUGUGACUUAUCAAUGCCAGCUUACUAGACAAUGCGAAGGAAGCCCAGAAGUGUGAUUCAGUGGAUAUAUUGUUGUUGCAUAUGCCUUGCAUGCAAAUUUAAAUAUGAGGGAUUCAAGGGCUAGGUAGCAUGCUUCUACUUGACUGAAUUUAAGUAGGAGAGAUUAUCAAUUGCAUGCCGAGUCUUGUUGUACUUUCUGGGUUGUUUGAUUUCCUUUGGUGGUUUUUCAAAAUAAUCUUGAUUUAACCAUGAUUUGCUCUGGUGGUUUUUUGAGAUAGUCUUCGUUUCGCAAAGACAUCAUAGUGAUCGCGCCUGGAAUACUCAAUGUCUUUGCUUGUGGUUUGUGUUCUUCAGGUCUUCACUUGCCAUGAUAUAUCUCUGAUUUCUUCUUCUCUGUUCUAAAUAGAGUCUGUUCUGUUUGCACCAAUUCGAGAUAAUGGUCGUAGAAUGCAGCAGCCAAGACAACAAGAUCAAGCUCGACUUAGGACUGAUGACAAAUAAAAUUUGAUUCAGAUGGUUCCUUGCAUCUUCCUCUCAUAAUUAAACCUAAUAAUACAAUUUUUUGUGCUCUUGCUUCUGCAGAUUCUAAAGAAUUGAUUCGUUGUUCGGGCAUUUCGUGCAUUUGGAGUUCACAGGCAAAUCAGAGUUUAUGGCACCCAAACUCUUCACUGGCAAUUUUAACGAGUUGGUGGACAUAUAUUCGUUUUGGAUGUGCAUGCCUGAAAUGAAAAGAAAAUGAUGGAAAAGUCUUGGACCUUGCUUAAUGCUUGGAACUACACCUUUCCAAACAUCCUUGUUGCUUGAUGCCAAGAGGAUUUCUCCAAGAGACUGGAACUAUGUUCCUCUGCAGUUCUCCAUUCAGACAUUUCUAUGGUUAGAGCUUUCUUCUGACAAAAUUGUGCUGGUGUCUGGAUGUAAAAUGUAUUUCCUAUUACAGCUGAGAAAGAGAGUAAGUAAAAAGGGUAAGCCAAGGGCUAGCCUAAAAUUCCAAAAGGACUAUUUCCUGAGGUAUUUGUCGCCGGCCAACCUGUCAUCAACCCAGGGUUGGUCGCUUGAACGACAUUCACUUCGAGGGAGUUCUGAUUAAAAGUUUGUGACUUAUCAUGCA